This 481-nucleotide long non-coding RNA is filed under the name Numida meleagris (helmeted guineafowl). RNAcentral describes it as "lncRNA (ENSNMEG00000017192.1)". The record is from RNAcentral. Lineage: Eukaryota; Metazoa; Chordata; Aves; Galliformes; Numididae.
GGAUGCUGGCUGGCACCCACCUUUCUGGACUUGUUUGGUUGGUCUCAUCUUUACGUACCGCAAAAAAGCUCUGCAAGCACUUGCAGGACUACGCUGUGCUUAAAAAGACGUGUCUAUUCAGGAAGUUGAUACUGUUGGAGCAAAUGCAGCAGCCAUUGCUGCUGACCAUGUUUUGUGGAGUACUCUGCGCUGCUCACAAGGAGCAAAGCAUCCCCUGUAGGGUUGAAACACCGCCUGGUCCAGGAUGUCUUUGCCCUCCUGGGUAACAGAAGUGCUGGCUGUGAAGAGGAUACUCCUUCAUCGAGGUUUCUAGUGAGCCUGCUCCCUUAUGAUCAGAACAUCUUUUGUUUCAUAUUCUGGCUUUUAUUUUUAGCUGCUCUGCUAUGAAAUCUGUCUCACUUAAAUAGAUCUCACUCUGUUUCCUCUGGUGCUUCUGGCAUCAAGUCAAUAAACUUAUUAGAGAAGUCUCUAGAGGAUUUCA